UCCUCAGAUGCUGAGGAAUACAUUAGUGUUAAAGAGCCCCAUCAUAAACUGGACUGAAACUUCAGAAAACUCAGCAUAAUGAUCAUUAUCUUCUGCUUAAUGUUUAACGUGAUUCCAGUUUUAGGCUCUUCUCUCAGCGAUCAGGUCCACCAGACUCCAGCUGAGAUGUUCCACAAGCCUGGAGGAACAGCCCUCAUCAACUGUUCACACAGUAUUGAGGGCUAUGAUCGGAUACUCUGGUACAAACACUCUAACAACAAGCAGAUGCAGUUCCUGGGAUAUAAUGAUGUUAUAACUGGAUAUGCAGAGCCUGGACUGAAUGUGAAAAUGAAUGGCAGCGCAAAUAAAUACAAGAUCUGCACACUAACAGUUGAGGAUCUGAGUGUGGACAGCAGUGCAAUUUAUUUCUGUGCUGCUAGAUACCACAGUGUGUCAUAUUAA
Girardinichthys multiradiatus is the source of this 441-nucleotide non-coding RNA. The record is from the annotation of a RefSeq genome assembly. NCBI's taxonomy places the organism in Eukaryota, Metazoa, Chordata, Actinopteri, Cyprinodontiformes, Goodeidae.